GUGGGCGUCACUCCUCAACACCACCUCAUCCUGUGAGAGUCUACGGUGCUCCUCCAAGAAGUCAAGCAGAUCAAUAAUAAACUUGUAGUCAUUAUCGAAAGCGGGAAUGAAUUUGUGUUAUCGCUUCCAAACCUUGGCAGGAAACCUAAGAGCUUUCUUUUGGUGGGCAAGGCGGUACACGACACAGGAGGAGGGGAACACUGGCCCAGGCUGACAAAAC
Molecule: long non-coding RNA, 220 nt
Filed under: Hordeum vulgare
Lineage: Eukaryota; Viridiplantae; Streptophyta; Magnoliopsida; Poales; Poaceae
Description: long non-coding RNA (HVUL_LNC013164)
Source: RNAcentral